Molecule: long non-coding RNA, 656 nt
Filed under: Ananas comosus (pineapple)
Lineage: Eukaryota; Viridiplantae; Streptophyta; Magnoliopsida; Poales; Bromeliaceae
Description: long non-coding RNA (ACOM_LNC044795)
Source: RNAcentral
UAAACAUUCACUUGUAAUAUGAUUCAUUUUUGAUCAUAUACACUGCAUUCAUCUUGCACAUUUUCAAAUUCCUUACAUUUCAUUUCAUCAUUUCUUUCUUACAUCACAUUUACCUCAAAAUACACAUUACAUUCUUUCCUUUACAUUAUUUCUCAUCAAGUACAAAGAUGAACAUAGGGUUCUUUACUACAAAAUGAAACCCAACUUUGGUGGCCUCUGACUAAGGCGCGAUACCUUUACCUCGGUCGCUCGCCGGCUCGCUCGGUCCCGGCUCUGUAGAAAUAGUGGGUUGAGUGUCACGCCCCGGGACCAAUACCAAUUUGGGCCGGCCCGAGCACGUCAAACAGACGCCGAACGGGCAGAGUUUUCUCUAUCCGCCGAAGGCUCAUCACAUGUACAGAUUCAAACAAGAAAUGCACUAGCGGAAACAUACACAAACGGCUUACACGAUGGUAAGCAAUAGCCAUUAGUGAAAGAAAGGAAGACUAAACAUUUAUAAGUACUAUGAUUCAUUUUUGAUCAUAUACAUUGCAUUCAUUUACAUUCAUGAUUCUUUGUACUUCAUUACACAUUGCAUCAUUUCUUUCGUACAUCACAUUUACCUCAAAAUAAGCUUUACAUUCCUUUCUCAACAUCACUAGUCAUCAAAUACAAAA